AGUACCUCCUCAUUUUACAGCUGCAGAAUCUGCGAGUCCAAGAGGUUUAGUACUAAGAGAAGAAGCUUGAGCUAGAAGGUGUCGUUGGAACCAUCUCAGAGGGCCAAACACAUCUCUCUACCUACUAAAAGGGUAUUCCAAGAUGGGGCCAGGAAUUCAGGGUUUUCAAGGUUAACCUGGCAGUCUGAAAGGAUGAG
Neogale vison (American mink) is the source of this 197-nucleotide long non-coding RNA. RefSeq lists it as uncharacterized. Lineage: Eukaryota; Metazoa; Chordata; Mammalia; Carnivora; Mustelidae. The transcript has 3 exons. The record is from RefSeq and is a predicted model, not a curated record.